This 601-nucleotide ribosomal RNA is filed under the name uncultured bacterium. Its description in RNAcentral is "bacterial SSU rRNA". It matches the Rfam family "Bacterial small subunit ribosomal RNA", at positions 826 to 1426 of the family's 1533-position model. The record is from RNAcentral.
GUUCCCCUGAGGAGUGGCUUCCGGAGCUAACGCGUUAAGUCGACCGCCUGGGGAGUACGGCCGCAAGGUUAAAACUCAAAUGAAUUGACGGGGGCCCGCACAAGCGGUGGAGCAUGUGGUUUAAUUCGAUGCAACGCGAAGAACCUUACCUGGCCUUGACAUCCAGAGAACUUAGCAGAGAUGCUUUGGUGCCUUCGGGAGCUCUGAGACAGGUGCUGCAUGGCUGUCGCCAGCUCGUGUUGUGAAAUGUUGGGUUAAGUCCCGCAACGAGCGCAACCCUUAUCCUUUGUUGCCAGCGGGUGAUGCCGGGAACUCAAAGGAGACUGCCGGUGAUAAACCGGAGGAAGGUGGGGAUGACGUCAAGUCAUCAUGGCCCUUACGGCCAGGGCUACACACGUGCUACAAUGGCGCAUACAAAGAAAAGCGACCUCGCGAGAGCAAGCGGACCUCAUAAAGUGCGUCGUAGUCCGGAUCGGAGUCUGCAACUCGACUCCGUGAAGUCGGAAUCGCUAGUAAUCGUAGAUCAGAAUGCUACGGUGAAUACGUUCCCGGGCCUUGUACACACCGCCCGUCACACCAUGGGAGUGGGUUGCAAAAGAAG